This is a non-coding RNA of Acanthosepion pharaonis, 103 nucleotides long. The record is from the annotation of a GenBank genome assembly. NCBI's taxonomy places the organism in Eukaryota, Metazoa, Mollusca, Cephalopoda, Sepiida, Sepiidae.
UUACGGCCACAUCACGUUGAAACACCUGUUCCCGUACGAUCACCUAAGUUAAUCGACAUCGAGCUUGAUUAGUACCUAUACGGGUGACCGCUUGCAAAUAGCA